This 5288-nucleotide small RNA is filed under the name Pongo abelii (Sumatran orangutan). RNAcentral describes it as "retained intron". Lineage: Eukaryota; Metazoa; Chordata; Mammalia; Primates; Hominidae. The record is from RNAcentral.
AGAAGGGGACUGACUCGACUAUGCGACCAGGAUUAGAACCCACAGGCCUAAAUUUCUGUGUUAUUUUAGCUCUGUAGUCCAUGACCCAAGAUUCUGGAAGGCCCAUGAGCUUCCUCCCUGGCCUCCCACGACUACAUCCUGAAGAUUGUGCCCACGGUUUAUGAGGACAAGAGUGGCAAGCAGCGGUACUCCUACCAGUACACGGUGGCCAACAAGGUGCGCGGGCGGUGGCUGGGCCGAGCUGUGUGCGGCGGCGCCCUCUGCUGACGGAGAGCAGAGACGACAGGCGGCUGCACAGACACACUUUCUUCUGGUUCCUUUCUGGAGGCCUUUCCUGGGGAUUAGCUUGGGCCAGGCGCUGUCUCUGGGUAAAAUUGAAAGGCCCAGUCCCUGCCAUGUGGCUGUCUCAGAGUCAAGGAGAACAGAUCUAACCAGGAGAUAGGGUGUGAUGCGUUUGAGAAAGAGCAGGUAGUCUCCAUCCUACAAAGGUCCUGGGGUUGCAGGUCUCAAACAGCCCUGCAUCUCGUCCGAGUCCUUUAGACCCAGACCCCUGGGUGCUCACCACAGACAGACACUCCUGCUCUCAGGACACAGGCACUUUACCCAAGCUCAUGAGGCUGCCGAGUCACACCAAGAUGGCUGUUGAUUAAUUUGCUGUUGAUUGACAGGGGUGUCCCCAGGACCCCAACACUCAAAGUCAUGGAGAAGACGCCAGGCCUUAGUGGGCAGCAGAGCAUGGUGAGAGUCUGCAGAGUGGGAUGAUCCGGCAAUUAGUGGUCUCAAGACAAGACAGGCUUGGGCUUCCCCGGGGGUAUCCCACCAAUGGGACAUGAAUACUUCAAACCUGGUGGUUGAAAUGCCCCUGCUAGACCCUGGUGGAUGGGUUUUUCCCACUUACCACCAGGACUGUCCUUUUUCUUCUGUUCCAAGGCUGCCCAAACCCCUUAUAAGUGAUACCUGUUUAGCUCAGUUAAUUAUAACAAUAGUAGGAGGCAUAGCUGUCACUCAUUGAGUACUUCCUGGGGGCUAGACGUGCUAAGCUCUCUUCUUCCGUCUUCUCAAUCAUCAUGACAGCUCUGAUGUUGAGACUGUUAUUGAGCCCAUUUUGUUGAUUUGGCCAUUGAGGCACUGAGAGGUGGUUGUAGAGCUAUAAAGUGGCUGAGUGGGGAUUAGAACAGGUUUUGCUUGGGCUCCAGAGCCUGGCUUCUUGAUCACCUCACGCCUCAGUCUGAGGAAGGGGCUGUGAGUCUGCCCACCUGCGAGCUGCUCUCUGUCCAAUGACCUAGUCCCUCUGUUCUGACUCGCCCUAAAUUGAUGUUCCCAGGAGCCCUGUUUCUUUUAUUCACUGUUUCACGGGGGGCAUCUCAUUGUAACCCUUACAUGCUCAUAGCAGCUAACAGAUGGAAAAUCACAGAUGCAAGCUCAGGACCACGCUGCAGUUCAAAUUCCAGCUCAGUCAUUCACUAGCUAUUGACCCGAGACAUGUCACAUAGCCACUGUGUGCCUCAGUUUACUCAUUCAUAAAAUGGAGAUGAUACUUUAUAAGAGUGCUGUCACAUGAGGCAAUGUUUUCAAAAAUGCCUAACCCACCAAAAAAAAAAAAAGCCUUUAGGUAAAUGAUACUGACUGCUGCUGUUUUUCACUGUUUUUCUUUGUCCCUCAACUCUGGCUUGUGACCCAGUCACCCUGCCCCAGCAGCUCUCCUGGAGAAAGCUGGUCUUCCCUUACUCAAAGCUCCUUUUCCCAAUGCUUUGGCAAGGCCCAGCAGCCAGAACAGCUUGCUCAGCUUCUCUAUGGCUGCAGCCGCACUCUGCCCGGGAGCAGGCUGCAGUGACCCAGUGGGAGGUCAGGGCUCAGUGUUACUUACCCCUGGAGGGGCCUCGGCUCCUCAGGCUCAGCAUGUGGGGUUGGGGGUACCCCAGUGGUUCAAUUUGGCCUCCAGUUGUUGCAGACUUUAGCACCUUGAAGUGCCCAAACUGGAGAGAUCCCAGGAGUCAUCAUCCCAGGCCCAUCUGUGUUUAGAUGGGGAAGCCAAGUCCCUGAGGGAGGGAGGGGCUGGCCCAAGGACGCACUGUUAGUUCAGCCUCUUAGUAUCCUUAGUCCCUGCUGUGUGCAUUCUCAGGGAGGUUGGUGGCAGGGCGGGGCCUUCUGGCUUUGCAGUUCAGUCUAUUUCUCUGAAGAAGCUAGCCCACUCCCCACACGGUGUUUACACCCGUCACACGCACACACACUGGGACUCCUGCUUAUUCAUCAUGUGUGGCUCAGAAUGUCCCCUCCCCAGUCUCCCAGAUGCCUCCCGGGAGAAUGGGUCAUUCAUUCAUUCCCCUCAACUCUCCAUGUCCCUCCAUCCCACAUGCGUGAUGUCGCAGUGUUAGGGAUAUUCUUAUGUCUUCCUCCUUCUGCAGACUGUGACUCCCUCUGGGGAAAGAGCAGGACGUUCAGCAAACCAUUGUUGAAUAAAUGAAUGGAUUUCGCAUGGCCCAGAGGUUGAAGGAGGCAAUAGCCAAAAAUUGCACUUUUCCUUUUACAGCUCUGAUUUCUAAUUUAUUUUCUGAUUCUGGUGCUGCUUGCAGCUCACAUGGUCAAUUUCUAAACAACCAAGGGGGUCAAAAAUGCCCAGCUGUGCACGGCAGAGUUUAGGGCCUCCAGGGGAAGGGAUGUGAGAGAGGGAGUGGGGGAGUCUGGCUUCAUGGGGCGGAGAGGGAGGAAAGUCCUUUCUGGAGGGUUGCUGGGGGGCCCUCUGCAAUCCAGUCCCCACCCACCCUGAGACACAGUUUGUACUUCUGAUUCUCGUAUCCUCUACCCCAGGAAUACGUCGCCUACAGCCACACGGGCCGCAUCAUCCCUGCAAUCUGGUUCCGCUACGACCUCAGCCCCAUCACAGUCAAGUACACAGAGAGACGGCAGCCGCUGUACAGAUUCAUCACCACGGUGAGUGGCCUGGGGCAGUGGGCCGGACCCUGAGCCAGCCACCCUGUGCCUGCUCUGGGCCUCUUUCCUUGGCACCCCUCACCUGCUCUCGCUGAAACAGGAUGCAGCCUGCAGGGCUAGGGGCUCUGGCUGGGCACAGGAGGCUUUGACCCUAAGGAUGCUGAGAAAUGUCAGAAACACAUCAGUAUCAAUGACGUUUUGUCUAGAAAGUAUUUUCCAGAGGGGAAUGCCCUGAAAUCCAUUUAAUUCCUGAAGCAAGUCUCCAUAUGUUUCCACUAGAUGUUUAGGAUUUUCUCCAGCUUUUUGUUGUUAUGGAAAUUAUUCUUAGCAGAGUUUAUCCUUUAAUGUAUAAAUUUUGCACCAAAGACUUAACUCAUUUUCUUUCCAGGUCUAAUUUCCAGUUAUAGCUGCUGAUAGGGUCCAAUUUUUCUCUUUCCUUCCUCCCUGUUCUCUCUUUUUUGCCAUGGUCUCUAGCACAUCCAGUUUUCUCUAGGGCAGCUUCAAGCUGAUGUUAGUUUUCCUUUAUGCUGAUUAUUUCUAUCACGUCUACUGUUUCCUGGCCUCCCAUUCAGAAGGUCCUGGGGUCAGAACAGGAGGGUCAGGGUGCCCUUCUUCACCCAAGAGGCCCAGGAGGUACUGAAGAAGCUAGAGUUAGCUGAGGUGGAAGAGACAGGGUGGCUAUCCCCACUUCACAGAUUUGGAAACUGAGACCUAAAGAUAAAUAUAGCAUUGGGAGGCCCUUAUGCUUCUGUAUUUCUUUAUACUUGUAACGAUGGUUCAAGAUCAAGGGUCUUGGCUCUUUCAUUUCCCACAAUAACUAGGUCAGUAUUAGUCAGGACUCUGUUACCGAAGAUCCAGAACCAGACUUUGAGCUGGCCUGAGGAGGAGAUGUUCUCAGGCAUGGCUGGAUCCAGCCUCGAAUGUUGCCAGGAGUAGAUCUCUAUCUUCGGAUCUGCUUUCCACUAUACUGGCUUCAUCUUCAAUAGAAUUUACCAGUAGAAAUGGCCUCUUUCUCAGUCAUUCUAACCAAGUCCUAGAUAGGACAGAGCUCUCACUGGCCCAGCUCAGGCCUCAUGCCAUCCUUGUGGCCUGGGAAAUCAAAUGUUCUCGUUGGCCAGGCUUAGGCCCUGUACCCUCUCUGAUGUCAACCCCAUCCAAACUGCAGGGACACAGAUUGUGAGGAAUGAAGUUCCUCAAGAGAAAAGGCAGGGACCAGCUACUGGAAGAGGAAAGAGUGGGUGCCAGGAGGCAGAACAGUGGGAUGUUGUGACAGGGUCUCUGCCUUCUCAUCUGUGACGUAAGAACGAUCAUCUCUGUUCCUGCCACCUCCCAGGGCCUUGUGGGACUCAGAGGAAAUCGUGAAAGGAGAAGCUGUUUGCAGAUAUGAAAAGCCAAGUAGGACGGGGCACAGUGGCUCACACUUGUAGUCCCAGCACUCUGGGAGGCUGAGGCAGGAGGAUCGCUUGAGGCCAGGAGUUUGAAACCAGCCUGGGCAACAUUGUGAAAGCCUGUCUCUAAGAAUCUUCUUAAAUUAGCUGGGUAUGGUGGUGCACGCACCUGUAGUCCCAGCUACUUAGGAGGCUGAGGUGAGAGGAUCACUUGAGCCCAGGAUUUUAAGUUUAGAGUAAGUUAUGAUCAUGCACUCCAGCCUGGGCAACAGAGCGAGACCCUUUCUCUAAAAAACAGAACCCCCCGGAAAACAGACAGAGAGAUACAAAGGGUGUCAUAAGUCUGGUGCUUACAUGAGCCUCAGAACAGUUUUUUGCUGUUCUCUUUGACCACAUCAAAGUUAGAAACUUCUGUUCAACAAAUGGCACAUAACAUAACGCAAAAAUGUCACACGCAGCCUGGGAAAAGAUACUUGCCAUCCAUAUGGGAAAGGGGUAGCCUUCAGAAUUCAUAUGUAAAGAACUCCUACAGAUCAGUAAGAAAAAAUUAACAACCAAAAAAAAUAGACAAGGCCAAGGACCAGCUCUUCACAGAGGAGAUGAUACUGGCAGUGACAAGAUGCCCAAGUUCACUAGAAAUUGGAGGGAUGAGAUUUAAAACAAGACUCAAUUCAGGCCAGAUGUGGUAGCUCACACCUGUAAUCCCAGCAUUCUGGGAGGUGGAAGCAGGAGGAUCACUUGAGGCCAGGAGUUUGAAACCAGCCUGGUCACCGCAGCAAGACCCCCUCCCUACAAAAGAAAAGUUAAAAAAUUAGCUAGACAUAGUGGUGCAUGCCUGUAAUUUCAGCUACUUGGGAGGCUGAGGUGGGAGAAUUACUUGAACCUGGGAGGCAGAAGUUGCAGUGAGCCAGGAUCACUCCAGUGCACUCUGGCCUGGGCAACAGAGUGAGACUCUGUCUCAAAAAAUAA